Molecule: transfer RNA, 76 nt
Filed under: Candidatus Nealsonbacteria bacterium CG_4_9_14_3_um_filter_37_29
Lineage: Bacteria; Candidatus Nealsoniibacteriota
Also listed under: 1 other name
Description: tRNA-Lys
Rfam family: tRNA
About the family: Transfer RNA (tRNA) molecules are approximately 80 nucleotides in length. Their secondary structure includes four short double-helical elements and three loops (D, anti-codon, and T loops). Further hydrogen bonds mediate the characteristic L-shaped molecular structure. tRNAs have two regions of fundamental functional importance: the anti-codon, which is responsible for specific mRNA codon recognition, and the 3' end, to which the tRNAs corresponding amino acid is attached (by aminoacyl-tRNA synthetases). tRNAs cope with the degeneracy of the genetic code in two manners: having more than one tRNA (with a specific anti-codon) for a particular amino acid; and 'wobble' base-pairing, i.e. permitting non-standard base-pairing at the 3rd anti-codon position.
Source: RNAcentral
GCCCCCAUAGCUCAAUUGGUAGAGCAGAAAGCUCUUAACUUUAAGGUUCCAGGUCCGAGUCCUGGUGGGGGCACUA